AUGAACGCUGGCGGCAGGCCUAAAACAUGCAAGUCGAACGCUUGUAGCAAUACAAGAGUGGCGCACGGGUGAGUAACAUGUGGGAAUAUGCCUUUUGGUACGGGACAACUCCGGGAAACUGGAGCUAAUACCGUAUGGUCCUUUCGGGGUAAAGAUUUAUCGCCAAAAGAUUAGCCCGUACUGGAUUAGCUAGUUGGUGAGGUAAUGGCUCACCAAGGCGACGAUCCAUAGUUGGUCUGAGAGGACGAUCAGCCACACUGGGACUGAGACACGGCCCAGACUCCUACGGGAGGCAGCAGUUAGGAAUAGUGGACAAGGGGCGCAAGCUUGAUCCAGCCAUGCCGCGUGAGUGAUGAAGGUUUUCGGGUUGUAAAACUCUUUAGCCGACGAAUAUAAUGACUGUAGUCGGAGAAUAAGCCCCGGUUAACUUCGU
This 433-nucleotide ribosomal RNA is filed under the name uncultured bacterium. RNAcentral describes it as "bacterial SSU rRNA". It matches the Rfam family "Bacterial small subunit ribosomal RNA", at positions 29 to 506 of the family's 1533-position model. The record is from RNAcentral.